GACGUAGGGGGCCAGCGUUGUCCGGAGUUACUGGGCGUAAAGCGCACGCAGGCGGUCCAUCGCGUCGGGGGUGACAGUGCUCGGCUUAACUGAGCAAGCGCUCUUGAAACGGGUGGACUUGAGGGCCAGCGAGGGAGUCGGAACUCCGGGUGGAGCGGUGAAAUGCGUAGAGAUCCGGAAGAACACCGAAGGCGAAGGCAGACUCCUGGCUGGUUCCUGACGCUCAGGUGCGAAAGCGAGGGGAG
RNAcentral lists this ribosomal RNA (245 nucleotides) under uncultured bacterium. Its description in RNAcentral is "partial 16S ribosomal RNA". It matches the Rfam family "Bacterial small subunit ribosomal RNA", at positions 524 to 768 of the family's 1533-position model. The record is from RNAcentral.